Molecule: transfer RNA, 65 nt
Filed under: Diplocheila zealandica
Lineage: Eukaryota; Metazoa; Arthropoda; Insecta; Coleoptera; Carabidae
Also listed under: 2 other names
Description: tRNA-Cys
Rfam family: tRNA
About the family: Transfer RNA (tRNA) molecules are approximately 80 nucleotides in length. Their secondary structure includes four short double-helical elements and three loops (D, anti-codon, and T loops). Further hydrogen bonds mediate the characteristic L-shaped molecular structure. tRNAs have two regions of fundamental functional importance: the anti-codon, which is responsible for specific mRNA codon recognition, and the 3' end, to which the tRNAs corresponding amino acid is attached (by aminoacyl-tRNA synthetases). tRNAs cope with the degeneracy of the genetic code in two manners: having more than one tRNA (with a specific anti-codon) for a particular amino acid; and 'wobble' base-pairing, i.e. permitting non-standard base-pairing at the 3rd anti-codon position.
Source: RNAcentral
GGUUUUAUAGUUUAAAAAAAUAUUAAAUUGCAAAUUUAAAGAAAGAAAUUAAAUUCUUAAAACCU